ACACCCGUAGCUCAGUUGGUAAUAAAGAGUAGCACUACCUACUCAUUUGUAAGCUGGCGGUAGGGGUCGGUAUUCUCUAAUAGAGAGAAGUCCACUCGGGUGUACCA
RNAcentral lists this transfer RNA (107 nucleotides) under Shewanella sp. SR44-3. RNAcentral's name for it is "tRNA-OTHER". Lineage: Bacteria; Pseudomonadati; Pseudomonadota; Gammaproteobacteria; Alteromonadales; Shewanellaceae. The record is from RNAcentral.